Molecule: ribosomal RNA, 253 nt
Filed under: uncultured bacterium
Lineage: Bacteria
Description: partial 16S ribosomal RNA
Rfam family: Bacterial small subunit ribosomal RNA
Source: RNAcentral
UACGUAGGGUGCAAGCAUUGUCCGGAUUUGUUGGGCGUAAAGAGCUCGUAGGCGGCUUGUAACGUCGGAUGUGAAAACUCGGGGCUCAACCCCGAGCCUGCAUUCGAUACGGGCUAGCUAGAGUGUUGCAGGGGAGACUGGAAUUCCUGGUGUAGCUGUGAAAUGCGCAGAUAUCAGGAGGAACACCGGUGGCGAAGGCGGGUCUCUGGGCAACUACUGACGCUGAGGAGCGAAAGCGUGGGGAGCGAACAGG